UAUGCCUUCCCUCAUCACUGACCUUCUGAGCCCAAAGUGACUGCUUCCUACCCAGCCUGGUAUCAAGGUCUUCUGACCACUUUCUCUUCAAUCUUGUUGCUGAGUUGAGCUGAAUAACUUGGCUGGAACGUCAUGAGACCCACAGGGCAAUCUUCUGGUUUUAAGACCUGUCCAAGUGCUGUUUAGGUCAGCUGCCUGAGAGGAGCAAUGCAGUCUACAGCCACUGACUGGGAUGGGCUGGCCCAGGGGCGGCUGAAACCAUGGCCUUGGCCUCAUCUAGGCUCACUUCUGCUGCAGCCAAUGCACCAGGACCUCCGAAAAGAUGUCCAGGAGCCCUGGCUGAGAGGCGCCCACUGAAUCUCCCAGGCAGAAUACUGGCCAUCUUCCGUGGCUUCGACCCCUGAGGGGCCACCAUCUGAGAAUGAGAAGGCCCAGCCCUGGGGAAAUCCCUAGUCUCUGUUUCCAGCAGUGCUAGUGAUUUCCCAAGGAGUGACAUUAGAAAAGUCAUCACACAUUUAUUUCUGUAUAUAUCAUUCAGAGCCUAAUUUUCUGGUGGCUGAAGGUUGAGCUCAUCAGAAACAGACUUCAUCAUCAAUUGAGUUAAUAAAGCCAAGUCAAGACAAGGGAGAAGGGCAGCUAUCCAGAUGGAUUCAAGCAGCCAAGAGGUGCUUCUGCUCAAAGACUACCUUUAAAGGAGGGAAGAGAAAGAAGUGAGAGCAGAUACCUGUACACCGUGUUCAUAACAAUAUUAUUCACGAGAGUCAAAAGGUGGAAGCAACCCAAGUGUCCAUCCAUGAAUGAAAGAAUAAACAAAAUGUGGCACAAACAUACAAUGGAAUAUUGUUCAGCUUUAAAAAGGAAGGAAAUUUUGAUAUAUGCUACAACAUGGAUAAACUUGGAGACCUCUGCCAAGUGAAAUAAGCCAGUCACAAAGGCCAGUACACAAAACAUUGUAUGAUUUCUUUUGUAUGAAGUUCCUGGAGUGGUCAAAUUCAUAGAGGCAGAAAGUAAAAUGAGGGGGAGUUAGUGCUUAAAGGAUACAGAGCUUCUGUUGGAAAGGAUGAAGUUCUGGUGAUGGUUGCACAACUGUGUGAAUGUACUUAAUGCCACAGAACUAUAUACUUAAAAAUGGUUAAAAUAGUAAAUUUCAUGUUGUGUAUACUUUACCAUAAUAAAAAGGUGGAGGAGAAGUUUGACACCUUAAUUCA
Symphalangus syndactylus (siamang) is the source of this 1208-nucleotide long non-coding RNA. RefSeq lists it as uncharacterized. Lineage: Eukaryota; Metazoa; Chordata; Mammalia; Primates; Hylobatidae. The record is from RefSeq and is a predicted model, not a curated record.